UUGCUUUCCAUUAGUAAUUUCACUUAUGAAAUGGUCAAAAACCUAAAGGGAAAUUGCCAUGGAUGGCAAUUUAGGAAGCAUGGACAGGAUGUCCGUUGCUUCCGUCCCGACUGGUUUGAUUCACUUUUACCAUUUCAUUAGUGAAAUCUAAUGGAAAGCUC
Regulatory RNA element from Lachnospiraceae bacterium 28-4, 161 nucleotides. NCBI's taxonomy places the organism in Bacteria, Bacillati, Bacillota, Clostridia, Lachnospirales, Lachnospiraceae. The record is from Rfam.